UCACGCUCGGGACCACAUUUUCCCAGAGCCUGUUUCUCGUGUUGUCUGUCCCCAGAUGAGGGAGACAGUGCCAUGUGUUAGGUGGGAGACGGCCGGACCUGUCCCUCAGGCCUUGAACUGCCCACCGUGCUGCUGCAGAUGGAACGGAGCCGGCGGGCCCAGGAGCAGAAUUCCAGGCUGUGCCCAUCGCCCCAGGCUGAGGACUCCCUGAGCCAGGACUAUCAGCUUCUGGAGGGGCCUGCCCAGCGACCCCUCCUUGUGCCCCCAGAUCCUCCUGGGGUUCUCACUCAGUUGUACCCAUAUGGUUGCCCCACAGCCUCUGGACAAGGGGGCUGGCAAAGGACCCAUCGUCAGCCCUGGAUCUGAGUGAAGCCAGGUUCGAUGCAGACCCAAGGUGGGAGAGCCCUGGCAUGCCUGCAGAAGGGCCCACAUCUGGUUGCUCACAAGAGCUGAACCUCACCACCAGCAGUAGCUUUGGAGAAGCCGGAAGCUCAGAGUUCAAGGAGCUGGCCCAGAGGGAAGACAGGGAGCUAGCAGGGCCCAUGCCCCAGAGGCCCCAUCAACCACCGUCCAGAAGCCUACAGGAGAAGCUGGCUCAGGGAGCCCCAGGGCCCUCAGGCCUCCUCUCCCAGAGCCUGCCAGAACCCCAGGAUCCCCUGGAGGGGCUGGGCUGGAUCCUGGGCCAGGAGAGAGCAGAACUAAAGAAACUACUAAGCAUUGAGAUUCCUCAGAGUCAGAGAGAGGGGGCCCCUCAGGAUCAGAGAGGGAAGGCCUUCCAGGGGGAGGACAAAGAAGUUCCUCCAAGUAAGAGAGAGAAGACAAACGAGGGUCAGAGUGGGGAGGCCCCUCAGGCUCUGAGGGAAGAGGUCUGGGAAGGUCAAAGGUGGGAGGCCUCCCAGGGUGAGAACAAAGAGGCUCCUCGAAGUCAAAGCGGAAGGCGCCUUAAGUGCCGGAGAAAGGAGGCCCUCCCGGAGCGGAAUGAAGAUUCUCCUCAGGGCCCGGAAGUGAAGACGCUUCAGUCUUCCGAGGGCAGAGGCCGUAUCUCACAAGCCUGGGAGGUGGCUCCGGGAGAGGCACCUACACCGCCCCGGGAGGAAGGCGGCUCCCUGGGAAUUCCGGGGGGCUUCUGCAGGCCCCUGGGAGAACAGAUGCUGCAGCCUGGGGGAAGGGAGGGCCCGGACCCGCGGGGAAGGACCACCCAGCUGAGGCAGGUUAAGAACGGUGGCCCGAGAGGAGAGAGCGCAGCGGCCGUGAGAGAGCAGGGGCCCGCCCGGGAAGGGGCGCCGGCUCCCCUUACGCCCCCGGGGCCUCCGGCCCGGCCGCCGCUCCCACGCCCAGGAGCGGUGUUGCUGGCGGCCCUACGCACUGGUGGUUCCGAGCAGCGGGAGCGCUCCGCAGCUCUCCCAGGGCACCCGGGCCUGCUGAGCGAUCCGCACUCACUUCGGGGCCCGGGAGGAAGCCCUGGCCCCGCGGAGCAGGAGCUGGGCGGCUCCAUGGGGCUCCCGGGCGCCCUCGGGGGGCGGAGGGGAGGUGCCGAGGCCCCCAGAGCCUCGAAGACCGCGUGGCCCGAGUCCCCGAGCAGGGACAGGCGGUCGGCGGGCGUGAGCGCGGCGCAGCAGGAGACGGCUCUGCAGCGGCUGCUGAAGCUGCACAGUGAGGCCAGGCGUCGGCGGCAACAGGACCGCGAGCAGCAGCGGCUCCGGGUCUUGGGACGCCUCCGCAUCGCCAGGAACCGCCACUGCCGCGUGCACCCCUUGAGAUCCCCACCGAGCCCGGCUCAGCUCCCACCACAGGAGGACGCAGCCGGGCAGCGGCGCGCACUGCGGGAGCAGCCGAAGCAGAUGCAACGGGAGAGGACCGGGCGGCUGCCGAAGCAGAUGCAACGGGAGAGGACCGGGCGGCUGCGAGCUCUCGGGGCCAGGGACACCCAGAACUUCCAGCAGCUACUGUGGCCCCCUGGCUCUGAGGAGCCUGCACCUGGAGAGCAUCGCUCACUCUUCCUAGCCCCCUCUGGUCACUGCUGAAUCCUCAAAGGGACGACUAAAGAGACGGGGAUUUAAGGAAAAAGCAAGAGGGCAACCUGUAGGUCAGAGGUAGUUUCAGAAAGGCCCAGAACGCAGCCUCGGGGCCUGGGAGAGCCAGACACAGACACACAUGGCACUUUCGGCCCACCAGGUGUGUUAUUUCUUCUUCCCUCCCCUAAGCCCACUGCCUGGCCCAGGGUCAGAGGGCCAGGUCCUGGGGGUCAAGCAGUGCGAAGGCCCCAUUCUUGCGGAAGAAAGAUUCAAUGCGGCACAUCUUGCAGGAGACCAGUUCUUGCUUCACUGGGGGGCCUGGGAAAAGAUGUCAGAGGCCAAGAAUGGAUUCCUGGGAAAGGAACUCGCAGAGCCCGGGAGCCCUGCCUGCAUAACCCUAGGAAUCUGCCUGUGUUGUAUCCACUUUGAGCUGGAGAAAACAUGUGACUGAGUAGUCUCACUUGAAAUGCAUGACCACAGACAGCAAAGGGACAUGUCUCAUCACCCAGCAAACCCACAACACCCCCUGGCAUAUUCUUUUCCCCACACCUUGACUCUUCAUCUCCAACUGCACCAUUGCCUUCGCUCCUCUCCUGCCCAGCUGAUGACCAUGACUCAAUCCAGAUGGACAGCCUUCUGGCCAAUACCAUCUCCCUACCGCUCGCUGUGUCCUCUGCCGUCUCCAGUUUGAUCCAGCCUCUGGAGCUCCCUGGGGCGACUCCCAUACACAGCUGACUCGCCGACACCUCCAGCGCAAAACACCCAACACUGACCUGUCUUCACACAGCCCCAGCCCUGCCCCCGCCCCAGUCUCCCCUGCUGUAGCUGCUUCAGCCAAACACCUGGGCAUGGCCAUUGCAUUCUUCUUCCUUGUCUUUUUCAAACCAAUACUCCUCCUUCCAGAAGUUCUGCUGCACUGUGUCCAUGUUAAGUUGCCGAGACAUGGUGGCAAAGGAAGGAGCAGGACCAGGGUGACUGCAGCUGAGGGGUGAGCGCAGCAAGCAGAGCCCUUCUGACAGCAGGUGGCUGCCCAGCAGCCAGUGGUCGCUAGGCAACCGAGCCUCACCUCACACAGGGCCAUGCCCUCAGCAUGCCUCACAUGCCUUGCUUGCUGAGGCAGCCUCAGGCCGGGGCCCACUGGCUAAGAGCCUUGAUCCCCAAACCUCUUGCUUGACCCAGGCUAGUAUCACAGGCUUCCAGGUUUCCUGUGAUUUCUGCUUCCUUCCCUUGAGGUCUGGUCCCCUCCCAGCCAAUACAGACUCAAGCUGGGGUGCCAGGGGACUGGACGCGAGCCUCCUUCCCUUCCUCCCCGCCAGAGCUGGCUACCUUUAAUUCAGAGGACCAAUCUGGCACAAUCUUCCUGGUCCAACUCCUCUAUGCCUGGAUCUUUGGCAAAACCUUUUCCAGCCCUGCCAGUCGAAUCCACCCCCCCACCGCCUCCCCACAACAGCCUCAUCCCACACGUGUCCUUUCUAGCACCCAGCCUCAGAUCAGAGAGAAGCAAGAACUACUUUAAUUUAACAUCAACAAGGACACUGUAUAACAGCACAGGGAAGAGGUAAUGGAGAGAAGACACUCAGACUUCCUAUACCCUAACCAGCCUUGAUUUGAAUGGCAGAGCCCCAGCAAACUGGAAGCAUCUCACCUAGCCUCUCAGUGGAGUGGGAAGGGGCAGGGAAUUGGAACUCAGAGGAUCGAAUCUUAGAGGAGGGCUGAUGGCAAGCCUGGGGAGAGGCCACAUGGCUGAGGGGAGUCCCCUAGCGCAGGUCUUCGGCCGUGAACAUGCCCCUGGCCCUGCGCAGGAUGGAGUCCUUGGCAGCAUCAUAGGGGUGCUCCUUGGAUGGGAUCUCCAGCACGGCCGGAAUGGAGCGCUGGUGGGCAUCGAGCGCGUGCCGCACCAUCUCUGCGAUGUACUGGUUGAUGAGGAUGAUGCCGAUGUCGUCCCGGCUUAGAAACUGCCUGUAGGGAGAGAUGAGAAGGGAGUCCAAGGCAGCGCACUCUGAGUUGGUGGGCUGGGCUGCAGAGGGGAACGAGCUCGAUCCAGAGAGUGCAAUGGACAAGGAUGCUACACUAAACUCUCUUCAUUCUAUUUAGAAUCAAUUUCAGUCCAAAGCUAAGGGCCAUGGCUUCUACCUCCCCUGCCUGGAAGGCUCCCAACUGAACUGCUAAUGAAGAUGAGGGUGCAUGCUGGUGUAUUCCUUACACUGCCUUCGGGUAAAAAAGGGAGAGGAUAAGAAUAUAUACAUUUGUCCCUUUGUAUCUGCAUAAAGAAAAAGAAAGAUAAGGAAAAAACUAAGUGGUUACAGGGUGGAGGAAGGAGGUAAUGAAGUAGAAGAGGUCGGGGUGGGAGUGUGACUUCUCAGUGCAUGUACCUUUUAAAUAUUAAUUUGUAAACCACAUGAACACAUUAACCUUUCAAAAGAAAACAGAUUAAAUUUUUUAA
Mesoplodon densirostris (Blainville's beaked whale) is the source of this 4458-nucleotide RNA transcript. It is a transcript of the gene named collagen alpha-3(V) chain-like, with no coding region annotated. The record is from RefSeq and is a predicted model, not a curated record. Lineage: Eukaryota; Metazoa; Chordata; Mammalia; Artiodactyla; Ziphiidae. The transcript is spliced from 13 exons.